RNAcentral lists this ribosomal RNA (468 nucleotides) under uncultured bacterium. RNAcentral describes it as "partial 16S ribosomal RNA". It matches the Rfam family "Bacterial small subunit ribosomal RNA", at positions 28 to 507 of the family's 1533-position model. The record is from RNAcentral.
GACGAACGCUGGCGGCGUGCUUAACACAUGCAAGUCGAACGGAAAGGCCCUGCUUUUGUGGGGUGCUCGAGUGGCGAACGGGCGAGUAACACGUGAGUAACCUGCCCCUGACUAUGGGAUAACUUCAGGAAACUGGGGCUAAUACCGGAUAGGAGCUCCUGCUGCAUGGUGGGGGUGGGAAAGUUUCGGCGGUUGGGGAUGGACUCGCGGCUUAUCAGCUUGUUGGUGGGGUAGUGGCUUACCAAGGCUUUGACGGGUAGCCGGCCUGAGAGGGUGACCGGCCACCUUGGGCCUGCGAGACGGCCCAGACUCCUACGGGAGGCAGCAGUGGGGAAUAUUGCACAGUGGGCGGAAGCCUGAUGCGGCAACGCCGCGUGCGGGAUGACGGCCUUCGGGUUGUAAACCGCUUUCGCCUGUGACGAAGCGUGAGUGACGGUAAUGGGUAAAGAAGCACCGGCUAACUACGUG